UAACUUCUAAUUUCUAACUUCGAAUUAAAAUCUGAUUUCAUAUAUUCUCAUUAAGGACCUUAUACUUUCUUUUUCUAACAUAAUUUAAUAAAAAAUUUAGCAUUUGUUCAAGUUGGUCCUUAAUGUAACAAAGUUAACAACAAGCUAAAUUAACCUUACAAACUAGUCCUUUGUAUAUUCUAAGCUUAAAAUCUAUCAAUUUCAAGCAUAAUUCUUCAAGAAAUCAACAAUGACAACUUUCUAAAACUUCAAUAGUUUUACAAAUUAGUACAUGGGCUAGCUAAAUUAAUCUCCCAUGAUCCCAAAUCUAUAAAAAUUGCAAAAAAGAAAAAAGGCUUGAAUUUACCUUCCAAAUGUUGGUCGAAUGUUAAAAAUGGUUCCUCAGGUUUUC
Molecule: long non-coding RNA, 391 nt
Filed under: Gossypium barbadense (sea-island cotton)
Lineage: Eukaryota; Viridiplantae; Streptophyta; Magnoliopsida; Malvales; Malvaceae
Description: long non-coding RNA (GBAR_LNC004261)
Source: RNAcentral